GAUGAACGCUAGCGGCAGGCCUAAUACAUGCAAGUCGAACGGGAUCCAGAUCAAAGCUUGCUUUGGUCUGGUGAGAGUGGCGCACGGGUGCGUAACGCGUGAGCAACCUACCCUUGUCAGGGGGAUAGCCCGGCGAAAGUCGGAUUAAUACCGCAUGACAUCAUUGAGAGGCAUCUUUCGAUGAUCAAAGAUUUAUCGGACAAGGAUGGGCUCGCGUGACAUUAGCUAGUUGGUAAGGUAACGGCUUACCAAGGCUGCGAUGUCUAGGGGCUCUGAGAGGAGAAUCCCCCACACUGGUACUGAGACACGGACCAGACUCCUACGGGAGGCAGCAGUAAGGAAUAUUGGGCAAUGGACGGAAGUCUGAACCAGCCAUGCCGCGUGCAGGAAGACGGCCCUAUGGGUUGUAAACUGCUUUUAUACGGGAACAAACGUCGGUACGUGUACCGGUCUGAGUGUACCGUAAGAAUAAGGAGCGGCUAACUCCGUG
RNAcentral lists this ribosomal RNA (490 nucleotides) under uncultured bacterium. RNAcentral describes it as "partial 16S ribosomal RNA". It matches the Rfam family "Bacterial small subunit ribosomal RNA", at positions 28 to 507 of the family's 1533-position model. The record is from RNAcentral.